This is a long non-coding RNA of Mustela erminea (ermine), 490 nucleotides long. RefSeq lists it as uncharacterized. NCBI's taxonomy places the organism in Eukaryota, Metazoa, Chordata, Mammalia, Carnivora, Mustelidae. The record is from RefSeq and is a predicted model, not a curated record. The transcript is spliced from 3 exons.
CCCAACAGUGGAGGCCGCCACUGAAGCUGACUUCCUACACUCCACAGGGGACUCCUCGGGUUACAAGCUUGGCCCAAAUGUUCCUGACUCCACCGCAUUGGCUGCCAAGGCUACCGGCACCUGGUCAAGGCCAGCAGCAGGAGGGGACACUGCGUGCCUGCUACAUUCCGGACUUUGGGCUAAGCACUCUGCCGUCUUGAGCAACAGGGCCAAGAGGACAGGCACUUGUCCUGUCCUAUACCACCUAGGCCUGUAUCACCAAGAAGGGCAGAGAUGGCAGGGGACAGAAGCUAAGCAGAAAAAUGCCACACUCCUCCUCCUCGAGGCUGAAGCCAUCACUCACAGGACAGAGCCAGAAACCUGAUUUCCAGAGUCCAGGACCUAGUGCAAGGUUAUGGAGCUGGCAAACGCAGGCCAGAGAUUAGAGCCACAUCCACAGAACCCUGCACUCAGGCUCAUAAUUGCUAUGUCUGUAAAAGGAGAAGAUCCU